RNAcentral lists this ribosomal RNA (2902 nucleotides) under Cronobacter sakazakii. RNAcentral's name for it is "23S ribosomal RNA". It matches the Rfam family "Bacterial large subunit ribosomal RNA". The record is from RNAcentral. Lineage: Bacteria; Pseudomonadati; Pseudomonadota; Gammaproteobacteria; Enterobacterales; Enterobacteriaceae.
GGUUAAGCGAACAAGCGUACACGGUGGAUGCCCUGGCAGUCAGAGGCGAUGAAGGACGUGCUAAUCUGCGAAAAGCGCCGGUAAGGUGAUAUGAACCGUUAUAACCGGCGAUGUCCGAAUGGGGAAACCCGGUGCACUUCGGUGCAUCAUCGUUAGCUGAAUACAUAGGCUAACGAGGCGAACCGGGGGAACUGAAACAUCUAAGUACCCCGAGGAAAAGAAAUCAACCGAGAUUCCCCCAGUAGCGGCGAGCGAACGGGGAACAGCCCAGAGCCUGAAUCAGCUUGUGUGUCAGUGGAACGGUCUGGAAAGGCCGGCGAUACAGGGUGACAGCCCCGUACACGAAGGCACACAGGCUGUGAGCUCGAUGAGUAGGGCGGGACACGUGAUAUCCUGUCUGAAGAUGGGGGGACCAUCCUCCAAGGCUAAAUACUCCUGACUGACCGAUAGUGAACCAGUACCGUGAGGGAAAGGCGAAAAGAACCCCGGCGAGGGGAGUGAAACAGAACCUGAAACCGUGUACGUACAAGCAGUGGGAGCCUUCGUAAGAGGGUGACUGCGUACCUUUUGUAUAAUGGGUCAGCGACUUAUAUUCUGUAGCAAGGUUAACCGUAUAGGGGAGCCGAAGGGAAACCGAGUCUUAACCGGGCGUUAAGUUGCAGGGUAUAGACCCGAAACCCGGUGAUCUAGCCAUGGGCAGGUUGAAGGUUGGGUAACACUAACUGGAGGACCGAACCGACUAAUGUUGAAAAAUUAGCGGAUGACCUGUGGCUGGGGGUGAAAGGCCAAUCAAACCGGGAGAUAGCUGGUUCUCCCCGAAAGCUAUUUAGGUAGCGCCUCGUGAACUCAUCUCCGGGGGUAGAGCACUGUUUCGGCUAGGGGGCCAUCCCGGCUUACCAACCCGAUGCAAACUGCGAAUACCGGAGAAUGUUAUCACGGGAGACACACGGCGGGUGCUAACGUCCGUCGUGAAGAGGGAAACAACCCAGACCGCCAGCUAAGGUCCCAAAGUCAUGGUUAAGUGGGAAACGAUGUGGGAAGGCCCAGACAGCCAGGAUGUUGGCUUAGAAGCAGCCAUCAUUUAAAGAAAGCGUAAUAGCUCACUGGUCGAGUCGGCCUGCGCGGAAGAUGUAACGGGGCUAAACCAUGCACCGAAGCUGCGGCAGCGACACUCUGUGUUGUUGGGUAGGGGAGCGUUCUGUAAGCCUGUGAAGGUGUGCUGUGAGGCAUGCUGGAGGUAUCAGAAGUGCGAAUGCUGACAUAAGUAACGAUAAAGCGGGUGAAAAGCCCGCUCGCCGGAAGACCAAGGGUUCCUGUCCAACGUUAAUCGGGGCAGGGUGAGUCGACCCCUAAGGCGAGGCCGAAAGGCGUAGUCGAUGGGAAACAGGUUAAUAUUCCUGUACUUGGUGUUACUGCGAAGGGGGGACGGAGAAGGCUAUGUCGGCCGGGCGACGGUUGUCCCGGUUUAAGCGUGUAGGCUGACUUUCCAGGCAAAUCCGGAAAGUUAAGGCUGAGGCGUGAUGACGAGGCACCACGGUGCUGAAGUGACAAAUGCCCUGCUUCCAGGAAAAGCCUCUAAGCAUCAGGUAACAUCAAAUCGUACCCCAAACCGACACAGGUGGUCAGGUAGAGAAUACCAAGGCGCUUGAGAGAACUCGGGUGAAGGAACUAGGCAAAAUGGUGCCGUAACUUCGGGAGAAGGCACGCUGACAUGUAGGUGAAGCCCCUGCGGGUGGAGCUGAAGUCAGUCGAAGAUACCAGCUGGCUGCAACUGUUUAUUAAAAACACAGCACUGUGCAAACACGAAAGUGGACGUAUACGGUGUGACGCCUGCCCGGUGCCGGAAGGUUAAUUGAUGGGGUUAUCGCAAGAGAAGCUCCUGAUCGAAGCCCCGGUAAACGGCGGCCGUAACUAUAACGGUCCUAAGGUAGCGAAAUUCCUUGUCGGGUAAGUUCCGACCUGCACGAAUGGCGUAAUGAUGGCCAGGCUGUCUCCACCCGAGACUCAGUGAAAUUGAACUCGCUGUGAAGAUGCAGUGUACCCGCGGCAAGACGGAAAGACCCCGUGAACCUUUACUACAGCUUGACACUGAACAUUGAGCCUUGAUGUGUAGGAUAGGUGGGAGGCUUUGAAGCGUGGACGCCAGUCUGCGUGGAGCCGACCUUGAAAUACCACCCUUUAAUGUUUGAUGUUCUAACCUGGCGCCGUAAUCCGGCGUGGGGACAGUGUCUGGUGGGUAGUUUGACUGGGGCGGUCUCCUCCCAAAGUGUAACGGAGGAGCACGAAGGUCAGCUAAUCCUGGUCGGACAUCAGGAGGUUAGUGCAAUGGCAUAAGCUGGCUUGACUGCGAGAGUGACGGCUCGAGCAGGUGCGAAAGCAGGUCAUAGUGAUCCGGUGGUUCUGUAUGGAAGGGCCAUCGCUCAACGGAUAAAAGGUACUCCGGGGAUAACAGGCUGAUACCGCCCAAGAGUUCAUAUCGACGGCGGUGUUUGGCACCUCGAUGUCGGCUCAUCACAUCCUGGGGCUGAAGUAGGUCCCAAGGGUAUGGCUGUUCGCCAUUUAAAGUGGUACGCGAGCUGGGUUUAGAACGUCGUGAGACAGUUCGGUCCCUAUCUGCCGUGGGCGCUGGAGAAUUGAGGGGGGCUGCUCCCAGUACGAGAGGACCGGAGUGGACGCAUCACUGGUGUUCGGGUUGUCAUGCCAAUGGCACUGCCCGGUAGCUAAAUGCGGAAGAGAUAAGUGCUGAAAGCAUCUAAGCACGAAACUUGCCCCGAGAUGAGUUCUCCCUGAGACUAUAAGUCUCCUGAAGGAACGUUGAAGACGACGACGUUGAUAGGCCGGGUGUGUAAGCGCAGCGAUGCGUUGAGCUAACCGGUACUAAUGAACCGUGAGGCUUAACCUU